UUUCUCAUCUCGCCUGCCGUGCUUCUUUCCCUCCUUUUGUUAUUUCUUCUUUUGAUGAUCUAAAUUCUAUCCUCUUCUUUGCUUUUAUCUUAAAUUAUUUUUCUUCUUUUCUUCUUCAUCUUUUCCCUCCAAUUUCAAUUUCCAAUUCUCUUUCUCAUUCUUUUUCUCCCACCUUGGAUUUCUCCCAUGGCACUGGCACCUCUAAAUUUGAUGAUGAGGACUAUUUUAGCAGGCGAACAGGGGCAGAAGCUCUCUUCCUCAUUCUUUUUCUUCGUCCUUUGAUUUCUCCCAUGCCGUUGACAUGUCUAAGUUUGAUGAUGAGGGUAAUCUUAGUAGGCGAACAAGGGAGAGGGCGACAUCGCUGGAGCAGUGGAUAGUGAAGGGGGAGAUGAGGCUCAGGGAUAUUGGGAUUAAAAAGUUCCUUCAAACCAUCAAGAUUCUCCUUUCCAUUUCAUCGAUCAUCAAUCAAAUAACUUUGCUUUAAACAUUGCCAUUCAAUAUGAGUUUAAGUUUCUAAUAUGCUCCCAUUUCGUUUCAGAUUUUCUCUUCAUUCCCUUGGAAACAUUGCCAAUCAAAUGUCUUACAUGACAUCAAUGCCACAAGAGUAUUGCAGUGAAGGAAAACCUUUAAAAAGCAUAAGAAUUUGAGUUGAGGGAAUCGCGAUGCAAAUCAUAAUAUGGUUCCAUGCAUACUUAUUCGAAUGGGCAUGCAUAUUCAAAUUGUUCAAUAUUUCCAAGGUGUUUCGUGAAUGUUUAAGCAGGUUGGAUCAAACAAUCAGUUUGCAUUAAUCACAAUGCCAAGGAUAACAAUCGUGUAAUAGCAACCUCCGAAUCAUGCUAUACAUUUGAUGGUAUAAAAGAAUUAGUGCUUUGUUACGAGUUAAGCAAUAUGUGUGCGUGUGUAUUUGUGCUUCCGGUGGCAAGGGGACAGAAAUUUUGAUCUUUGUUGUGUUGUUAUGUAUGACAAAAUUUUGAACAUCGUUGGAGGAGUUUUGAAUUGGAAAUUGGAAGGUAACAUUCUCAUGCUUAUCCAAAA
Molecule: long non-coding RNA, 1035 nt
Organism: Prosopis cineraria
Lineage: Eukaryota; Viridiplantae; Streptophyta; Magnoliopsida; Fabales; Fabaceae
Exons: 4
Source: RefSeq, a predicted model, not a curated record